RNAcentral lists this unclassified non-coding RNA (1302 nucleotides) under Hevea brasiliensis (rubber tree). Lineage: Eukaryota; Viridiplantae; Streptophyta; Magnoliopsida; Malpighiales; Euphorbiaceae. The record is from RNAcentral.
CUGUAUACAAAUGUAAAAAAUACCAUAAAUGCUAUUUCUUCUUUAGAAGUAUAUGAGGAUAGUAAUGGCACAGGUAUUUCCCAUCUAUGCAUAUGUCCAAUCAGACACAGGUAAUUCAACACUUCUAGUAAUCAAAAUGACAGUUGCACACAGAAUCAGAGGAAAGAACUUAAUCACAAUGUGUAUUUAAAAUGCUCAAUCACAAAUUAAGGCACAAAGAAGUGGGAAACAGUAGAAAAGUGAACUUCAUAUUGAUUAUGGAGAAACCCAAGCAAUUGCUUCAGAUGGCAGAGGGAAUAAUCACAAAUCUCUUUUAAGGUCCUAGCACUUCAAGACUAAAAGAUGGAUUUAUUUAUUUAAAGAAACCAAGUCGAUGUUUUGAUUGUGGAACUAAUAAAGCUCUGAGAAUGUUCUGCAUGUAAAGAAAGUCAGGAAGAAAAUAGUAUAACAAAUGAAUAUAUUUCGACAUAAGAGAUGUCAUCAUCGCCAAUCCAUUCUAGUAUGGAAAGACUGAUGACCUAAUCUUAGCAUUUUGUAACACCAUUUCAACAAUAAAAAUGAAAUACGCAAGGUUGAAAACUUCUAUUAUUUCAAGUUUCAACUAGAUUCUUAAGGGGCUCUACUUCAAGUGAUCUGUAACAUCUACAAAGGCAUCCAGUAGGUCCACCACGACUUCCUAAGCAAUUAAUGCACCCUUCUGUAUAAGACAAUACUUAUUUCUGACAAUGCCCCCAUGGCUCACGCCAUUCACCUUAUAUAGAAUCCAUCCAAACCCACUUGAAGACUUCAAAAAAGUUCCAUGCUGCAAUAUUGGAGCUUCCUUCGGUUAGCAUCCACCACUAGCAUACACUAAAACCAAGAAAAGCCUUAACCAUUUUAUAUUGCUUAGCUGAAGCGGCGACUAAAUGCCCUAAUAACCACACGAAGUGAUAAAAAAACUGUGAUAUAUAUUCAAUUAAAAACCACAGGGUAAGAAAGCAGAAUAUUGGUUACAAGCAGGCGAGCAAUUGUAAAAAAGUUGCGAAGUAAAAUAAAAUAAAGAAAAUAAAAAGAAUGAACAUUUGGCAGCAAUUAGAUGUCAAUUAAGAUUCAUGUUUGCUUAGAUGCAACAUGCUCCAACUAAAAAGUUCAAAAGAGCAGAGCUUACUUACAUGUCAAAACAACGAAACAAAGAAAGCAUAAUAUGCAGUAAACCAGUUUGGUACCAGAUCUCUCCAAGUAAAAAACUUGUCAAAAUAAAUUACAGAAAUUGGAAAAGAAGAAGCUGGAGAGAGGAGAAAUUACGAGAGAGCUCGAAAAUUG